Long non-coding RNA from Mustela erminea (ermine), 1241 nucleotides. RefSeq lists it as uncharacterized. The record is from RefSeq and is a predicted model, not a curated record. The transcript has 3 exons. NCBI's taxonomy places the organism in Eukaryota, Metazoa, Chordata, Mammalia, Carnivora, Mustelidae.
ACGCUUGAACCUCAGAGAGGGAAGGAUUCCCAGGGCAGAAAUAAGUUUGGGUGCAUUUCGAGCUUUCUGUUUCUGCUUGUUUGCUUUUGCAGGCGCUCACUCCGAAUGCGCGUGGAGCGCCCCACAGCACCACCGCCCUCCGCGCGCUGGCGCGCACACGCCCCCCGCCAGCCUGGGCGCCCGGCUGCGAACCCCGGGUCUGCAAACUUGAGGAUCUCCCCUCGUCGCGCCCGCCAGACAACUUAGCGAGCACCUCACGCGCCCGUACCCCCCUUCCUCCAGCCCUUCCUCCAAAUCCCAAGCCCACCGUCGCGUUCCAGAGAAGGUGCCCACGUCGCCCCGAGAUCCAGGAGCGCCCCCUCUCCACCCCCGGGGCUUCCCAGGUCGCUCACUCCUCCCGCACCCCCUCAGCUCUGCGGGAGACCGAAAACACACUACGUCUGGGGCAGCCAGGGCCGAAACUGUCAAGAGGAGAAAAGAGAUCGCUGGAGAUGGCGAGCUCCGAGACUCCCUCUAUCUUCUGUUUUCAGAGCAACUCUAUGCCCAGAGACUGAAACGAAGAUCAGCGAGAUGAUCCUGUGCCUACUUCUGAGAAUCUCUCGGGAACAGCACUCGGCCCCAUCUGCAGCCAGACUGAGAAGAGACAAAUGCGAUCAUCCACGUUGGGGAAUCGCAGGUAGCUCCCUGCCAGCCCACCCCAGAACUGAGGAGAAACUAAAAAGGAAUUCGACCUGGCCCAACACCCCAAGGAAGGAGGAGGAUGGGGGGACGUGGCACUUUUUACUUCGGGAUGGGACGCCCAGUGGGUUUCCAGAUUGGUUUGAUACAUCUGUGUCUAAAACAGGUUUUAGGUCUUGAACCGCCCGGGACAGCCAAUUUCUGGUGUGGCUGAAAGAGGUGGCUUUCAGCCCCUUCCCUGCUUUCUCUGAGAAGGAUCCAGAAACCACUUGGCAGGGCAGUUUCUACUGAAGAAAACUUUGGCCUGUUUGGUUGAUGACUAUCUAAGCUGGUUGUAAUAUGGCAUACUGCAUCUAGUUCUGUGUGGCUGCUAAUUGUCAAUUCCCACUGGUAAUCUUACUAUUAAACCUGCAGUCUCAUCCAUAAAAGAUAUACUGGAGAGGCAUUAAUAAUGUCUCGGUGAUAAAGUUCAGAUAAUUAACAGCUCUUAAUAAUUCACAUCAUUGUAGACAUCAUUCUGCACCUCCCUUCCAUUGAAACACACCCAUCACAUAGUAGGUGUU